GAUGAAGAACGUAGCGAAAUGCGAUAAGUAGUGUGAAUUGCAGAAUUCAGUGAAUCAUCGAAUCUUUGAACGCACAUUGCGCCCCUUGGUAUCCCGAGGGGCAUGCCUGUUCGAGCGUCAUUUCACCACUCAAGCCUGGCUUGGUGUUGGGCGACGUCCCCUUUGGGGUCGCGCCUCGAAACGCUCGGCGGCGUGGCACCGGCUUUAAGCGUAGCAGAAUCUUUCGCUUUGGAAGUCGGGGCCCCGUCUGCCGGAAGACCUACUCGCAAGGUUGACCUCGGAUCAGGCAGGGAUACCCGCUGAACUUAAGCAUAUCAAUAAGCGGAGGA
Molecule: unclassified non-coding RNA, 329 nt
Filed under: soil metagenome
Description: partial contains 5.8S ribosomal RNA, internal transcribed spacer 2, and large subunit ribosomal RNA
Rfam family: 5.8S ribosomal RNA (bases 1-120)
Source: RNAcentral